UGUUAAAAAAUAUAAAAUAUUGAACAGUAACAAAUUAAAUCAUUAAUCAAAAUAUAUAUACAAAUAUCAACUAUAAUCUAUAUAUAAUCAGCUGUAAAGCAAACAUUUACUUACUUAAUCGCAACGAUCAUGGUGCAACCUCGGUGAAUUGUCGCGAACCCAGUUAUUAGUGUCGGUGUCAAAACCGAAAUGUACACGCUGAUAAAAAUAGUACCGCAAUUCGUCGACAGCAAUCGGAUGGAAUUUCCUGAAACAACAAAAAUAUCAUUAUUCUGGCGUGCAAUUCCUCUCUAUUGUAACAGCAAUACAAACAGCAGUUAGCCACACUUAACCGCCAAUUCAUUCACACAAAACCGACACACAUAAAUCUCACCGAUUGGCAAUUACCACGCUGCAGUCAAGCGCAAACAUACAAACGUCGACGUCACUGGCUUUCGCCGGCUGACGCACCAACACACACUCCAACGCGCGUACAAAAAAAAACAAUGCACCACCGGAAAUGCAUUUCACUCGGCAAAAGCAAGGAAAAACGAGUAUCCUUAGCUAUGUCUUGCAAUCACGCGAUUUGUGCUGAUGCGCCAUGUCGCAGAGAGAGAGAGAGUAGGAUUGUAAGUAGUAUUUAGUGUGUAAAGUGUCACUCAUACGCCUGGUGGCAGGACAUAGCUCGCGCCUUUGCCGCUUGAGUCAUGUAUAUAUCCAGCACGUGAAAUUUGGCGCAUUCGGAGUAGCGGUGGUGGUGCUUGAGUGGUAGCCACACGCUGAGAUUGGUGUGCCUGUGUGAGUAGGCGCGAGAGCGCCAAGUAGUAUGAGAGCGUCGUCGCCUAAACGAACAACAACUGACAAAUUGGCAUUUCGCUCAUUGGCUGCAAGCACCAUAAAGGAUGUGGAAGUAACGGCUAGCGACGUCGACUACCCAACUGGCCAAUCAGAAAGGUGCCGAGCGCAAGUAAGCGUUUACUUGUAUAAAUAUCCUUAGCUGCUUGUGGCGAAGUAAAAUUAAUGCUACAUGAAUGCAAGAAAGAAGGUGUGUGAGCGGAGAAGGAGUUGUAUUUGUUUUAAUGGGCUGGAAAGCAAAGGACACUUGCCAAAGAUAACAACAAUAAUUUUUGGCGCUGCCUCUGUUUUCUGCCAAUAUCUUGAGGCAAAUAUUAAGAUUCUGCAGAAUGAUAUUAUUGUAAAAAUGUGUUAUGCUUGUUGCGAUUUAUUAGCGAUUUUUUUAAUUGGUAUCAAAAUGAACGCAUAUAUGUAUAAUCGUAAGUCAGGCUUGUAAAUAGUGCAUAGUAUAUAUAAUAAUAAAAUAUAUAAUAAGUAAACAUUUGUAAUUAGCGUAAUAUCAAAAUUUAACUUUAGUUUAUAACAGUUCUAGCCCCGUCUUGUAUGUCUUAUUGGUAGUCACCUGGCGGUCACGGUGUUGCUUGGAAAAUAACAACUGGUCCAGCACAUCGCCCGCAAUAUUUUUAUUUUAGAUUUAUUUUUAAUUUAAUAUUCAUCUAGUAAUCAUAUAAACCUACAUAUUAUAAAAAAAUAUUGGUAAUUAAUGACAAGAAAAAAAUCGAACAAUAUUCACUAGCUCAACCAAAUCAAUAUUGUCAUAUAAUUACUUAAAUACUCAUAUAAUGUAAUUUGUAGAAAAUAGUUUUACGUGACCAGCGUAAUGUUCAGAGGAAGAAGGAGAAUAUUGAAAAUGAAUAAAGAUUGAAAAACUGUAAAGCUCUCGACAGCGGAACAGAAAA
This 1733-nucleotide long non-coding RNA is filed under the name Bactrocera latifrons. RNAcentral's name for it is "uncharacterized LOC108974848". Lineage: Eukaryota; Metazoa; Arthropoda; Insecta; Diptera; Tephritidae. The record is from RNAcentral.